AGGGUAAUAGUUAAAAAUAACAUUUAAUUUGCAAUUAAAAAUUAUUGAAAUAUCAAUUUACCUUA
This 65-nucleotide transfer RNA is filed under the name Oryzaephilus surinamensis (saw-toothed grain beetle). RNAcentral describes it as "tRNA-Ala". The record is from RNAcentral. Lineage: Eukaryota; Metazoa; Arthropoda; Insecta; Coleoptera; Silvanidae.